AUUGAACGCUGGCGGCAUGCCUUACACAUGCAAGUCGAACGGCAGCACGGGAGCAAUCCUGGUGGCGAGUGGCGAACGGGUGAGUAAUAUAUCGGAACGUGCCCAGUCGUGGGGGAUAACGCAGCGAAAGCUGUGCUAAUACCGCAUACGAUCUCUGGAUGAAAGCGGGGGACUCGCAAGAGCCUCGCGCGAUUGGAGCGGCCGAUAUCAGAUUAGCUAGUUGGUGGGGUAAAAGCUCACCAAGGCGACGAUCUGUAGCUGGUCUGAGAGGACGACCAGCCACACUGGAACUGAGACACGGUCCAGACUCCUACGGGAGGCAGCAGUGGGGAAUUUUGGACAAUGGGCGCAAGCCUGAUCCAGCAAUGCCGCGUGCGGGAUGAAGGCCUUCGGGUUGUAAACUGCUUUUGUACGGAACGAAACGGCUCUUUCUAAUAAAGAGGGCUAAUGACGGUACCGUAAGAAUAAGCGCCGGC
This 476-nucleotide ribosomal RNA is filed under the name uncultured bacterium. RNAcentral describes it as "bacterial SSU rRNA". It matches the Rfam family "Bacterial small subunit ribosomal RNA", at positions 30 to 497 of the family's 1533-position model. The record is from RNAcentral.